RNAcentral lists this ribosomal RNA (370 nucleotides) under uncultured bacterium. RNAcentral describes it as "bacterial SSU rRNA". It matches the Rfam family "Bacterial small subunit ribosomal RNA", at positions 28 to 402 of the family's 1533-position model. The record is from RNAcentral.
GACGAACGCUGGCGGCGUGCUUAACACAUGCAAGUCGAGCGGUAAGGCCCUUCGGGGUACACGAGCGGCGAACGGGUGAGUAACACGUGGGUGACCUGCCCCCAACUCUGGGAUAAGCCCGGGAAACUGGGUCUAAUACCGGAUAUGACCACGGAUCGCAUGGUGUAUGGUGGAAAGAUUUUUUGGUUGGGGAUGGGCCCGCGGCCUAUCAGCUUGUUGGUGGGGUGAUGGCCUACCAAGGCGACGACGGGUAGCCGGCCUGAGAGGGCGACCGGCCACACUGGGACUGAGACACGGCCCAGACUCCUACGGGAGGCAGCAGUGGGGAAUAUUGCGCAAUGGGCGAAAGCCUGACGCAGCGACGCCGCGU